GGAGAGGCCGCCGCUGCCUUCAGGUUUCCGAGGAUGUGAGGAAGUAGAACCACACACAAUAAAGAAAGAGGACCUCUACGGAAAGCUGAGGUGCUGGCGAGGAGGGAGAUGAUGAUCUCUGAGAAGAUGAGCAAGCCCCGCUCACCCUGCACCUGCUCCUGACCCGGCCUUGUAUUCCGUGAGCUCCGCACGCCCCCUGCUGGCCCUGAGCUGCACCUGCGCCCGCCCCCUCAGCCUCCCUGCAGGGAGGUUUUUGUCUGGGCUCACACUCACCUCCCCUCACUGUGUGUCUCGCACAGUAAUACACAGCCGUGUCUGCGGCGGUCACAGAGCUCAGCUUCAGGGAGAACUGGUUCUUGGACGUGUCUACGGAUAUGGUGACUC
Molecule: long non-coding RNA, 384 nt
Filed under: Homo sapiens (human)
Lineage: Eukaryota; Metazoa; Chordata; Mammalia; Primates; Hominidae
Description: HSALNT0216971
Source: RNAcentral